This 254-nucleotide ribosomal RNA is filed under the name uncultured prokaryote. RNAcentral describes it as "partial 16S ribosomal RNA". It matches the Rfam family "Bacterial small subunit ribosomal RNA", at positions 524 to 777 of the family's 1533-position model. The record is from RNAcentral.
UACGGAGGGUCCAAGCGUUAUCCGGAUUUAUUGGGUUUAAAGGGUGCGUAGGCGGUUUGAUAAGUUAGAGGUGAAAGCCCGUAGCUCAACUACGGAACUGCCUCUGAUACUGUCAGGCUAGAGAAUGGUUGCUGUGGGCGGAAUGUGUCAUGUAGCGGUGAAAUGCAUAGAGAUGACACAGAACGCCGAUUGCGAAGGCAGCACACUAAGUCAUUAUUGACGCUGAGGCACGAAAGUGUGGGGAUCAAACAGGA